RNAcentral lists this ribosomal RNA (469 nucleotides) under uncultured bacterium. RNAcentral describes it as "partial 16S ribosomal RNA". It matches the Rfam family "Bacterial small subunit ribosomal RNA", at positions 28 to 507 of the family's 1533-position model. The record is from RNAcentral.
GACGAACGCUGGCGGCGUGCUUAACACAUGCCAGUCGGACGGAAAGGCCCUGCUUGCCGGGUGCUCGAGUGGCGAACGGGUGAGUAACACGUGGGUGAUCUGCCCCUUACUUUGGGAUAAGCCUGGGAAACUGGGUCUAAUACUGGAUAGGACCAUGCUGUAGGUGGUGUGGUGGAAAGAUUAGUUUCGGUAAGGGAUGAGCUCGCGGCCUAUCAGCUUGUUGGUGGGGAAAUGGCCUACCAAGGCGUCGACGGGUAGCCGGCCUGAGAGGGUGGACGGCACCAUUGGGACUGAGAUACGGCCCAGAAGCCUACGGGAGGCAGCAGUGGGGAAUAGUGCACAAUGGGCGCAAGCCGGAUGCAGCGACGCCGCGUGGGGGAUGACGGCCUUCGGGUUGUAAACUCCUUUCAGCCAUGACGAAGCCCUUGUGGUGACGGUAGUGGUAGAAGAAGCACCGGCUAACUACGUG